Molecule: ribosomal RNA, 427 nt
Filed under: uncultured bacterium
Lineage: Bacteria
Description: bacterial SSU rRNA
Rfam family: Bacterial small subunit ribosomal RNA
Source: RNAcentral
CCGAGAAUUUUUCACAAUGGGCGCAAGCCUGAUGGAGCGACGCCGCGUGGGGGAUGAAUGGCCUCGGCCCGUAAACCCCUGUCAUUUGCGAUCAACCGUUAUUAUUUAAAAGAUGAUAACCUGAUAGUAGCGAAAGAGGAAGGGACGGCUAACUCUGUGCCAGCAGCCGCGGUAAUACAGAGGUCCCAAGCGUUGUUCGGAUUUACUGGGCGUAAAGGGUGCGUAGGUGGCGGUGUAAGUCGGAUGUGAAAUCUCCGAGCUCAACUCGGAAACUGCAUUGGAAACUACAUUGCUCGAGGGUUGGAGGGGGGACUGGAAUACUUGGUGUAGCAGUGAAAUGCGUAGAUAUCAAGUGGAACACCAGUGGCGAAGGCGAGUCCCUGGACAACUCCUGACACUGAGGCACGAAAGCUAGGGGAGCAAACAG